RNAcentral lists this ribosomal RNA (397 nucleotides) under uncultured bacterium. Its description in RNAcentral is "partial 16S ribosomal RNA". It matches the Rfam family "Bacterial small subunit ribosomal RNA", at positions 523 to 918 of the family's 1533-position model. The record is from RNAcentral.
AUACGUAGGUGACAAGCGUUAUCCGGAUUUACUGGGCGUAAAGGGCGUGUAGGCGGUCUUGCAAGUCAGAAGUGAAAUUCCUGAGCUCAACUCGGGCGCUGCUUCUGAAACUGCAGGACUUGAGUGCUGGAGGGGAUAGCGGAAUUCCUAGUGGAGCGGUAAAAUGCGCAGAUAUUAGGAAGAACACCGGUGGCGAAGGCGGCUAUCUGGACAGUAACUGACGCUGAGGCGCGAAAGCGUGGGGAGCAAACAGGAUUAGAUACCCUGGUAGCCCACACUGUAAACGAUGAAUGCUAGGUGUAAGAGGUAUCGACCCCUUUUGUGCCGGAGUCAACACAAUAAGCAUUCCGCCUGGGGAGUACGGCCGCAAGGUUGAAACUCAAAUGAAUUGACGGGG